This 253-nucleotide ribosomal RNA is filed under the name uncultured bacterium. RNAcentral describes it as "partial 16S ribosomal RNA". It matches the Rfam family "Bacterial small subunit ribosomal RNA", at positions 524 to 776 of the family's 1533-position model. The record is from RNAcentral.
UACGUAGGUGGCAAGCGUUAUCCGGAUUUAUUGGGUGUAAAGGGCGUGUAGGCGGGAGCGCAAGUCAGAUGUGAAAACUCAGGGCUCAACCCUGAGCCUGCAUUUGAAACUGUGUUUCUUGAGUGCUGGAGAGGCAAUCGGAAUUCCGUGUGUAGCGGUGAAACGCGUAGAUAUACGGAGGAACACCAGUGGCGAAGGCGGAUUGCUGGACAGUAACUGACGCUGAGGCGCGAAAGCGUGGGGAGCAAACAGG